UCCAGUGGUAGUCAGCUGCCCGUUGCUGCUCAGUGCCUGUGAUAGUGUUAUGCUGCUGGGAGAGAAAUGGCGCUGCCGAGUUGCACCUGGCACCACCGGUGCUGUUCUAGUGCCGGAUGGUGUUGGGUUUUGGCAGCACUCUGCAUGCUUGAGAGUGGAGUAACUCCUCCUCGGUGGAGUUAAUCCUAGAUUGGAUGCAGACAAU
Molecule: small nucleolar RNA, 205 nt
Filed under: Cariama cristata (Red-legged seriema)
Lineage: Eukaryota; Metazoa; Chordata; Aves; Cariamiformes; Cariamidae
Description: Small nucleolar RNA SNORA74
Rfam family: Small nucleolar RNA SNORA74
About the family: U19 belongs to the H/ACA class of snoRNAs. snoRNAs bind a number of proteins (including dyskerin, Gar1p and Nop10p in the case of the H/ACA class) to form snoRNP complexes.
Source: Rfam by way of RNAcentral